AUUGAACGCUGGCGGCAUGCCUUACACAUGCAAGUCGAACGGCAGCACGGGUGCUUGCACCUGGUGGCGAGUGGCGAACGGGUGAGUAAUACAUCGGAACAUGUCCUGUAGUGGGGGAUAGCCCGGCGCAAGCCGGAUUAAUACCGCAUACGAUCUACGGAUGAAAGCGGGGGACCUUCGGGCCUCGCGCUAUCGGGUUGGCCGAUGGCUGAUUAGCUAGUUGGUGGGGUAAAGGCCUACCAAGGCGACGAUCAGUAGCUGGUCUGAGAGGACGACCAGCCACACUGGAACUGAGACACGGCCCAGACUCCUACGGGAGGCAGCAGUGGGGAAUUUUGGACAAUGGGCGAAAGCCUGAUCCAGCAAUGCCGCGUGUAUGAAGAAGGCCUUCGGGUUGUAAAGCACUUUUGUCCGGAAAGAAAUCCUUGGCCCUAAUACGGUCGGGGGAUGACGUUACCGGAAGAAUAAGCACCGGCUAACUACGUG
This 486-nucleotide ribosomal RNA is filed under the name uncultured bacterium. RNAcentral's name for it is "partial 16S ribosomal RNA". It matches the Rfam family "Bacterial small subunit ribosomal RNA", at positions 30 to 507 of the family's 1533-position model. The record is from RNAcentral.